GCUAACUCCGUGCAGCAGCCGCGGUAAUACGAGGAUCCGAGCGUAUCGGAUUAUUGGUUUAAAGGKGCGUAGKKGUUGAUAAGUCAGCGUGAAAGUUGCAGCUUAACUGUAAAAAUGCCGUUGAAACUGUCGGACUUGAGUGUAAAUGAGGUAGGCGGAAUGCGUGGUGUAGCGGUGAAAUGCAUAGAUAUCACGCAGAACUCCGAUUGCGAAGGCAGCUUACUAAGCUACAACUGACACUGAAGCACGAAAGCGUGGGGAUCAAACAGGAUUAGAUACCCUGGUAGUCCACGCAGUAAACGAUGAUUACUAGCUGUUUGCGAUACACAGUAAGCGGCACAGCGAAAGCGUUAAGUAAUCCACCUGGGGAGUACGCCGGCAACGGUGAAACUCAAAGGAAUUGACGGGGGCCCGCACAAGCGGAGGAACAUGUGGUUUAAUUCGAUGAUACGCGAGGAACCUUACCCGGGUUUGAACGUAGGGAGACAGGGGUGGAAACAUCCUUUUCAGCAAUGACUGCCUACGAGGUGCUGCAUGGUUGUCGUCAGCUCGUGCCGUGAGGUGUCGGCUUAAGUGCCAUAACGAGCGCAACCCUUAUUUCCAGUUACUAACAGGUGAUGCUGAGGACUCUGGAGAGACUGCCAGCGUAAGCUGUGAGGAAGGUGGGGAUGACGUCAAAUCAGCACGGCCCUUACAUCCGGGGCGACACACGUGUUACAAUGGUAAGGACAAAGGGCAGCUACCGGGCGACCGGAUGCGAAUCUCUAAACCUUAUCUCAGUUCGGAUCGGAGUCUGCAACUCGACUCCGUGAAGCUGGAUUCGCUAGUAAUCGCGCAUCAGCCAUGGCGCGGUGAAUACGUUCCCGGGCCUUGUACACACCGCCCGUCAAGCCAUGGGAGCCGGGGGUACCUGAAGUUCGUAACCGCARGGAUCGACCUAGGGUAAAACUGGUGACUGGGGCUAAGURGURRCAAGGUAACC
This 982-nucleotide ribosomal RNA is filed under the name uncultured Bacteroides sp. RNAcentral's name for it is "bacterial SSU rRNA". It matches the Rfam family "Bacterial small subunit ribosomal RNA", at positions 496 to 1501 of the family's 1533-position model. The record is from RNAcentral. Lineage: Bacteria; Pseudomonadati; Bacteroidota; Bacteroidia; Bacteroidales; Bacteroidaceae.